Non-coding RNA from Danio rerio (zebrafish), 2447 nucleotides. The record is from RefSeq and is a predicted model, not a curated record. Lineage: Eukaryota; Metazoa; Chordata; Actinopteri; Cypriniformes; Danionidae.
AUGUUGUGAUUAUACUAAUAGCUGGUAAUUGCCCAAAUAAUCAUAUGAUUGGUUUUGACCAUAUCUUAAUCUGUUGUGAAUAAGAAUUAGCUCUGCUCUGAUGCUCCAGUAGCAACAUGUACAGUGAAAUACACAUGUACAAAUUAAUAACACUUCAGUAGUCAAAUAUUUUUUUUUUACAAACUGAGUAGACUACUUGUUGAAUGAUAAUCCUUUGAACUUAAGUGGUGGAGAGGUUUAUUAUAGAAGGAGUGAGUGAGCUAUCCUUAUGCCACCAGACUAACCUGGUUUGUUCUUGAGCACUCUGCUUAAAUAGAUGAGUUUAAGUUUAUUGGCAUCAUUUCACUCCAGAAAAAUGACAGUAAGAGCUGUGUGAUAUGACAUGGUGCAUAAAUGUGCAUGAAUGACUAUGAAUGAUACCUAGAAGUCUACCUGCAUUUGUUGCAAAGAUAUACUGCAAAGUUCUCAAUAUGUAACAAAAUAAAUAUAUACCAUGUUAAUAGUUUAUUAUUAAAUCCUGCUUUAAUGGGAGUGCAGUUCCUGCUAGUUCGCCAGUGGCGCUAUUGCGCACAGAGUCUGUGUAUAGACUGCAGCAGAGUUAGGGAGAACUGCUGUGGAUGUGGAUGCUAAGUUAAACCGUGUUGAUCUCACUGUUACUGCUCUGUGUGCAGGGCAAAAUAAAAUCCUCCUCAUCCGAGUCCAGUGUGUGUGUAUUGCUAAAGGGUGAAUGAAGUGGGUUCGGGAGUAAAGUAUAAAGGUCACAAAUAUACACUAUAAACUAACGAAAGAUACAUUUGAACAGAUUUUAUGCCUCUUUGGGCUGGCACUGAAUAAAUAUACACUAUCUAAUCUAUACUGCAUUUUGCAUUCUGACAAGUCAUGCAUCGCUGCCUGCUUCUCAAAACUGCUCCUUUAUUCUUUCUUUAUACUGCUGUUAAAGUCGACAAAUUAAAAAAUUAAGCACAAAAUUACAUGAAACUCCAGAGGAAAUGUGGAUAGCCUGGUGUAGCAAUGACAUGAAUUGAACUAUGUGUUAUAGCAUGUAAAACGGGAUCAUGAAAGGAACAUUCAAAUAGCAACUCAUGUGAACACCUUAAAAAAUAUAUUGUCGUAUUUAGAUUAGGGCAAUCAAUUUGACUACUGAUGUAAAUGUAAACGUAGCUAUUGUCAAACUAGAUCAAUUGCACUGCCCUAGUCAUUCAACCAUCUUCAAAAUCAACUGGGUUUUCUAACACACAAAGCCAAACACACACAUAAAAAGCUGACUGUCAGACAGCAUGUCUCGUGAGUAUCUUUAACAAGUACUUAGUAUCUGAAAAAAAUACAUCUUUAGACUCUUUUUUUUUUCUUUUUUUUUCUAUAGCAAAGCAUCAUUUUAUUCUCUCUCUUUGGAUCUUCAUCCACAAUAAAUGUAACAUGAAGGUCCUUCCAUGAUGCUCCCCUGGAGUGAGUGCAGAGAGCGUGUGAGGGCAGAGAUUAUCAAUUUAAUCAGGGAUCAGAGAGACACUGGGAGAUUCCCUGGAUGUAUGAUGUCCAUCACAAACACUAGAUGUAAUUCCAGUCAGGCAGAACGUGCUUUACAGACUAAGCAGGCUGUGGAGAGCUCAGUUUGCUUGCAACUGUGUGGUGAAGCCACUGUCCUAACUGAAUUUCUCAAAAGAGUGAUGGCAGAUCAGCUUCUUGUUAGUGUUAGAAAGUCCAGACUUUAAAACCAAACAGGCUCUUAAAAAACUUAAUGUUUUGAAAAAAAUGUUUUGAAAAAAAAAGACUCAUAAGGAUUUUCAGCAUUUGGUGAUUUUAUAGUCAUCCAAAUUCAUUUGUCUGAGUUUCUAUCGUUUUGUAAAACUUAAAUGGGCCAUACAGUAGAAUUGUGACAUCUAAAAUAUUAUAUAUGGAUAUAUGUGUAUAUAUAUAUAUAUAUGGACAAUGUUUUAGUUUAUACACAAUAGUUUAUCUCUGAGUAUUUUGUUUAUCAGAUAACUGAAAAGCUACCUUUAUUGUUGUCAUCAAAUAUCGGCAGUUGUCAUAAAGAUUGCACCAGCUCUGAUGCUAAAACCCCUUGUGACUUUAUCAGGGCUGGAAAUCUAGCAAAUAUCUAAAUAUUAAUAUCUGAUUGAACAUGUGCAUGCCCACGUGCUACAGAUAGAAAUAGAAUUCUUGAGAGUUUCACCCCUUCCCAAUCAUUCACCUGAAUUUAAUACCUGAUUGCUUAAUCCCAACCAUACCUCAUAAUCCUAACCUUUCCCACACAACUAAUCCCAACCAUACUUUAUACUGUAGUAGGAAGUAAGGGGAUGUAUAAUCUGUCAGGGGUGCAUUUUUUUAGCACUACACUUGGUUCUUAGGAUUAUUAACUCAGAUAUCCACUGCAAAGUAGCUAUGUUUUUGUUUUCCUAUUUUAUGCUCAUUUUGGAUUUGCGCAUAACAAAUUGGUUGAUUGAAAUGCC